AGACCCGAAACCCGGUGAUCUAGCCAUGGGCAGGUUGAAGGUUGGGUAACACUAACUGGAGGACCGAACCGACUAAUGUUGAAAAAUUAGCGGAUGACCUGUGGCUGGGGGUGAAAGGCCAAUCAAACCGGGAGAUAGCUGGUUCUCCCCGAAAGCUAUUUAGGUAGCGCCUCGUGAAUUCAUCUCCGGGGGUAGAGCACUGUUUCGGCUAGGGGGCCAUCCCGGCUUACCAACCCGAUGCAAACUGCGAAUACCGGAGAAUGUUAUCACGGGAGACACACGGCGGGUGCUAACGUCCGUCGUGAAGAGGGAAACAACCCAGACCGCCAGCUAAGGUCCCAAAGUCAUGGUUAAGUGGGAAACGAUGUGGGAAGGCCCAGACAGCCAGGAUGUUGGCUUAGAAGCAGCCAUCAUUUAAAGAAAGCGUAAUAGCUCACUGGUCGAGUCGGCCUGCGCGGAAGAUGUAACGGGGCUAAACCAUGCACCGAAGCUGCGGCAGCGAACGUAUCACUUAAAGCGAUUCAGCGGGUUACGAUUGACGGAGCGAAGCGACGUCAAAGCGUAUACAAAGUCGAGUCGGUUUAAGGAUACGUUCGUUGGGUAGGGGAGCGUUCUGUAAGCCCGUGAAGGUGGCCUGUGAGGGUUGCUGGAGGUAUCAGAAGUGCGAAUGCUGACAUAAGUAACGAUAAAGCGGGUGAAAAGCCCGCUCGCCGGAAGACCAAGGGUUCCUGUCCAACGUUAAUCGGGGCAGGGUGAGU
This 758-nucleotide ribosomal RNA is filed under the name Salmonella enterica subsp. enterica serovar Saintpaul. RNAcentral's name for it is "partial 23S ribosomal RNA". It matches the Rfam family "Bacterial large subunit ribosomal RNA", at positions 711 to 1384 of the family's 2925-position model. Lineage: Bacteria; Pseudomonadati; Pseudomonadota; Gammaproteobacteria; Enterobacterales; Enterobacteriaceae. The record is from RNAcentral.